Molecule: transfer RNA, 65 nt
Filed under: Eutrichosiphum pasaniae
Lineage: Eukaryota; Metazoa; Arthropoda; Insecta; Hemiptera; Aphididae
Description: tRNA-Ile
Source: RNAcentral
AAUAAAAUGCCUGAAAAAAGGAUUACUUUGAUAGAGUAAAUCAUGUAUUAAAAUUACUUUUAUUA